RNAcentral lists this long non-coding RNA (862 nucleotides) under Sinocyclocheilus anshuiensis. RNAcentral describes it as "lncRNA (ENSSANG00000046807.1)". The record is from RNAcentral. Lineage: Eukaryota; Metazoa; Chordata; Actinopteri; Cypriniformes; Cyprinidae.
GUGAGCUACAAUGAAACCAAUUACUCCACAGAUGUGACUCUGACAAUAUUAGUUCCUCCACUGGUCUCCAUCAUCUUACCUGAAGUAGUUUUGAAAAGAAAAACUUCGGUUGAAUGUUGGGCAAGGAGCUUUAGUCCUCCACAAAUCAUGUUUACCUGGACAAGAGCUGGAAACAAAAUCCAAGUACCCCAAAAGCUCCAAGUGAACCAUACAGAGGACGGGCUAUACGAUGCAGUCAGCUGGCUGACGUUCUUCCCUCAAGUCUCUGACCAGAAUACAAGCUUUGGCUGUGAGGUGCAACAUACAGCCUUGAUGAAACCUGUCCUAGAAGAGUUCACGCCACAUAUCAUAGAGAAGCGGAAGUCUCUGAAUGUCUCAGCGAUUGUUCUGCCACCCAGGGUGGUUGUGGGUAAGAAAGGCAGAGUCACCAUCAGUGUGGAAGGCAGGUUGGCAGAGAGGGUACAAACGACAUGGUUUCUGAAUGAUGUUCCCAUCACAGACACUUCAUACAAAGAGAAAAAAUAUGGUCCUUUUUGCUCGGCAGCCUACACUCCUCGCACCUCUCGUGUAUCUGUGGUGUCAGAAAAAAGUUCUCUGCUGCCCUCUACUGCCUCAGGAUAUUACAAGCUACAUACUCAGAUGUCACCUCGCUCGUCCUCCAGCUCAAUGAAACAACUCUUCUCCUCCGUCACAUUUAUACCCAACCUGUCCAUUCACAAGGGUGCAAUCUUGAAAUGCCACAUCUCGUAUAAGGGGAAAGACAAGAUUGUGGCUGAGAGAGUGUCCGACAAGUUUACUAUUCUAGGUCAGAGGCUAUGUUGAGGUCUCUCAUGUAUUACCUGCAGCUUGUUUUUAUGUGAAG